UGUUCUGAAUUUUGCUGGAGGAGCGCAGC
This 29-nucleotide non-coding RNA is filed under the name Mus musculus (house mouse). The record is from RNAcentral. Lineage: Eukaryota; Metazoa; Chordata; Mammalia; Rodentia; Muridae.